UACAGAGGUCCCAAGCGUUUGUUCGGAUUCACUGGGCGUAAAGGGUGCGUAGGUGGUGGGGUAAGUCUCGUGUGAAAGCUCGCAGCUUAACUGCGAAAAGUCACGGGAUACUAUUCCGCUGGAGGCUUGGAGGGGGGACUGGAAUACUUGGUGUAGCAGUGAAAUGCGUAGAUAUCAAGUGGAACACCAGUGGCGAAGGCGGCCUUCUGGACGAUGACUGACGCUGAGACGCGAAAGCGUGGGGAGCAAACAGG
This 254-nucleotide ribosomal RNA is filed under the name uncultured bacterium. Its description in RNAcentral is "partial 16S ribosomal RNA". It matches the Rfam family "Bacterial small subunit ribosomal RNA", at positions 524 to 776 of the family's 1533-position model. The record is from RNAcentral.